AGUCGAGCGGUUGAGGGGAGCUUGCUUCCCGAUUCAGCGGCGGACGGGUGAGUAAUGCCUAGGAAUCUGCCUGGUAGUGGGGGACAACGUUUCGAAAGGAACGCUAAUACCGCAUACGUCCUACGGGAGAAAGCAGGGGACCUUCGGGCCUUGCGCUAUCAGAUGAGCCUAGGUCGGAUUAGCUAGUUGGUGGGGUAAAGGCUCACCAAGGCGACGAUCCGUAACUGGUCUGAGAGGAUGAUCAGUCACACUGGAACUGAGACACGGUCCAGACUCCUACGGGAGGCAGCAGUGGGGAAUUUUGGACAAUGGGCGCAAGCCUGAUCCAGCAAUGCCGCGUGAGUGAAGAAGGCCUUCGGGUUGUAAAGCUCUUUUGUCAGGGAAGAAACGGCUGGGGAUAAUACCCUCGGCUAAUGACGGUACCUGAAGAAUAAGCACCGGCUAACUACGUGCCAGCAGCCGCGGUAAUACGUAGGGUGCAAGCGUUAAUCGGAAUUACUGGGCGUAAAGCGUGCGCAGGCGGUUUUGUAAGUCUGUCGUGAAAGCCCCGGGCUCAACCUGGGAAUUGCGAUGGAGACUGCAAGGCUUGAAUCUGGCAGAGGGGGGUAGAAUUCCACGUGUAGCAGUGAAAUGCGUAGAGAUGUGGAGGAACUCCGAUGGCGAAGGCAGCCCCCUGGGUCAAGAUUGACGCUCAUGCACGAAAGCGUGGGGAGCAAACAGGAUUAGAUACCCUGGUAGUCCACGCCCUAAACGAUGUCUACUAGUUGUCGGGUCUUAAUUGACUUGGUAACGCAGCUAACGCGUGAAGUAGACCGCCUGGGGAGUACGGUCGCAAGAUUAAAACUCAAAGGAAUUGAC
This 858-nucleotide ribosomal RNA is filed under the name uncultured bacterium. Its description in RNAcentral is "bacterial SSU rRNA". It matches the Rfam family "Bacterial small subunit ribosomal RNA", at positions 60 to 914 of the family's 1533-position model. The record is from RNAcentral.